UUUCUGUCAGCUCAAACAGGGUAUAUACAGAAAUCCUGGGAGGUAAAUUCAAUACCUUUUAAUACCAUUUUUAAUACCUUCUCAAUAUUUUUUUAAACCAACACGCCAUUGAGUUGCAGGUUUAUACGGCAACACGUUU
Long non-coding RNA from Sander lucioperca (pikeperch), 139 nucleotides. RefSeq lists it as uncharacterized. NCBI's taxonomy places the organism in Eukaryota, Metazoa, Chordata, Actinopteri, Perciformes, Percidae. The transcript has 3 exons. The record is from RefSeq and is a predicted model, not a curated record.